Molecule: non-coding RNA, 783 nt
Organism: Dermacentor albipictus
Lineage: Eukaryota; Metazoa; Arthropoda; Arachnida; Ixodida; Ixodidae
Source: RefSeq, a predicted model, not a curated record
UCUUGGCGUGUACAGCUGUCGGCACGUGCAAACCAUGAUGCAUAGGGCAUUGUGAGGUUUUGAAGCACUGUGCACAACUGGACAGAAAGUCCGGUGCACUGAAACUUUCCAACCCACGUUUAAGGGCAGGCAAUAUCACAUGCAGACAUGUCCACCUUCAUCCUGUCAUCCUCGCAACGCACUCGGGCUCUGUUCGAGAGGGCAUGCGGAGCUGUUGAACACUGCUGCGAAGCCUGGGAUGGAGAGGCUGGCUGCCGGACGAACCUGCGCGCGGCAGCAGGACUCGGCUCCCUGUCGUAAAUCCGGGCAAUCUCAGAAACGGCUCUCCGCGAGUUAUCACAAUUUCACCGGUCCCAACAUCUGGCCACCCCUAACUUCCUUGAUUGCAGUUCUAUGAAUGAGUACGCGUAGGGCGUGGUUGAAAUAACAGGUAAUUAAACAACCACACUGCCUGUAGCACCGGGACCCGCCUGAUCGACACAAUUCGGGUAGCUUUUGCGGCUCUCCCGCACGACAUGUGAAGGCCGCUUGCACCAGAUUCCGGAGCCGCCUCAAAGCAGCUGUAGAUCCAAAGUGCGGCUUCUUCGAGUGGUCUCGCUUUCUCAUCUUUAAGUUCUUUUUUCCCGAGUGUCCCAUAGAUUCGGUUUUGCUUACUAUGGUCACUUUUUAUUUUUCACCAACAAGUGUCAAAUUUACCCCGAACACACUGCAAAUAUCCCAACUGCAAGAAAUGUAAGCCGUCAAGGGCGCCAUUCCUUUAAUAAAGCGAAUAUCUAUAGCUUU